Molecule: ribosomal RNA, 493 nt
Filed under: uncultured bacterium
Lineage: Bacteria
Description: bacterial SSU rRNA
Rfam family: Bacterial small subunit ribosomal RNA
Source: RNAcentral
AUCCUGGCUCAGAUUGAACGCUGGCGGCAUGCCUUACACAUGCAAGUCGAACGGUAACGGGCCUUCGGGUGCCGACGAGUGGCGAACGGGUGAGUAAUGCAUCGGAACGUACCUUCAGUGGGGGAUAACGUAGCGAAAGUUACGCUAAUACCGCAUAUUCUGUGCGCAGGAAAGCAGGGGAUCGCAAGACCUUGCGCUGAUUGAGCGGCCGAUGUCAGAUUAGCUAGUUGGUGAGGUAAAGGCUCACCAAGGCGACGAUCUGUAGCGGGGUCUGAGAGGAUGAUCCGCCACACUGGAACUGAGACACGGUCCAGACUCCUACGGGAGGCAGCAGUGGGAAAUUUGGACAAUGGGGGCAACCCUGAUCCAGCCAUGCCGCGUGAGUGAAGAAGGCCUUCGGGUUGUAAAGCUCUUUCGGCCGGGAAGAAAUCGCAUGGGCUAAUACCCUGUGCGGAUGACGGUACCGGCAUAAGAAGCACCGGCUAACUACGUG